GGGUCAGUAGGUUGGUCGUGCCACCGGUACGUACUGGUCUCACUGAUUCCUCCUUCCUGAAGAACCGUAAUGCCAUUAAUGUGGUGUUGCGGGGAAACAGGACUGUUACUUUGAAAAAAUUAGAGUGUUUAAAGCAAGCUAACGCUUGAAUACAUUAGCAUGGAAUAAUGAAAUAGGACGAUCGAUCCUAUUUUGUUGGUUUCUAGGAUUGACGUA
Molecule: ribosomal RNA, 216 nt
Filed under: Glomeromycotina sp.
Lineage: Eukaryota; Fungi; Glomeromycota
Description: partial small subunit ribosomal RNA
Rfam family: Eukaryotic small subunit ribosomal RNA (bases 40-216)
Source: RNAcentral